UACGAAGGGGGCUAGCGUUGCUCGGAAUCACUGGGCGUAAAGGGUGCGUAGGCGGGUCUUUAAGUCAGGGGUGAAAUCCUGGAGCUCAACUCCAGAACUGCCUUUGAUACUGAAGAUCUUGAGUUCGGGAGAGGUGAGUGGAACUGCGAGUGUAGAGGUGAAAUUCGUAGAUAUUCGCAAGAACACCAGUGGCGAAGGCGGCUCACUGGCCCGAUACUGACGCUGAUGCACGAAAGCCAGGGGAGCGAACGGG
This 253-nucleotide ribosomal RNA is filed under the name uncultured bacterium. RNAcentral describes it as "partial 16S ribosomal RNA". It matches the Rfam family "Bacterial small subunit ribosomal RNA", at positions 524 to 776 of the family's 1533-position model. The record is from RNAcentral.